CUCAGUUUGGAUCGCAGUCUGCAACUCGACUGCGUGAAGGUGGAGUCGCUAGUAAUCGCGGAUCAGCAACGCCGCGGUGAAUGCGUUCCCGGGCCUUGUACACACCGCCCGUCAAGUCAUGAAAGUGGGCAGCACCCGAAGACGGUGGCCUAACCCUUGUGGGGGGAGCCGUCUAAGGUGAGGCUCGUGAUUGGGACUAAGUCGUAACAAGGUACC
RNAcentral lists this ribosomal RNA (216 nucleotides) under uncultured bacterium. RNAcentral's name for it is "partial 16S ribosomal RNA". It matches the Rfam family "Bacterial small subunit ribosomal RNA", at positions 1287 to 1500 of the family's 1533-position model. The record is from RNAcentral.